AUGCAGAUCUUCGUGAAGACCCUGACCGGCAAGACCAUCACCCUAGAGGUGGAGCCCAGUGACACCAUCGAGAACGUGAAGGCCAAGAUCCAGGAUAAAGAGGGCAUCCCCCCUGACCAGCAGAGGCUGAUCUUUGCCGGCAAGCAGCUGGAAGAUGGCCGCACCCUCUCUGAUUACAACAUCCAGAAGGAGUCAACCCUGCACCUGGUCCUCCGUCUGAGGGGUGGCAUGCAGAUCUUCGUGAAGACCCUGACCGGCAAGACCAUCACCCUGGAGGUGGAGCCCAGUGACACCAUCGAGAACGUGAAGGCCAAGAUCCAGGAUAAAGAGGGCAUCCCCCCUGACCAGCAGAGGCUGAUCUUUGCCGGCAAGCAGCUGGAAGAUGGCCGCACCCUCUCUGAUUACAACAUCCAGAAAGAGUCAACCCUGCACCUGGUCCUCCGUCUGAGGGGUGGCAUGCAGAUCUUCGUGAAGACCCUGACUGGCAAGACCAUCACCCUGGAGGUGGAGCCCAGUGACACCAUCGAGAACGUGAAGGCCAAGAUCCAGGAUAAAGAGGGCAUCCCCCCUGACCAGCAGAGGCUGAUCUUUGCCGGCAAGCAGCUAGAAGAUGGCCGCACUCUCUCUGAUUACAACAUCCAGAAAGAGUCGACCCUGCACCUGGUCCUCCGUCUGAGGGGUGGCUAUUAA
This 690-nucleotide long non-coding RNA is filed under the name Mus musculus (house mouse). Its description in RNAcentral is "long non-coding RNA chr14:46084125-46084815". The record is from RNAcentral. Lineage: Eukaryota; Metazoa; Chordata; Mammalia; Rodentia; Muridae.